GAUGAAGAACGUAGUGAAAUGCGAUAAGUAAUGUGAAUUGCAGAAUUCAGUGAAUCAUCGAAUCUUUGAACGCACAUUGCGCCCCCUGGUAUUCCGGGGGGCAUGCCUGUUCGAGCGUCAUUACAACCCUCAAGCUCUGCUUGGUAUUGGGCCCCGCCAGUUCUGGCGGGCCCUAAAGUCAGUGGCGGUGCCUUCCGGCUCCGAGCGUAGUAAUUCUUCUCGCUCUGGAGACCCGGUUGUGUGCUUGCCAACAACCCCCAAUUUUUUUCAGGUUGACCUCGGAUCAGGUAGGGAUACCCGCUGAACUUAAGCAUAUCAAUAAGCGGAGGA
Molecule: unclassified non-coding RNA, 330 nt
Filed under: soil metagenome
Description: partial contains 5.8S ribosomal RNA, internal transcribed spacer 2, and large subunit ribosomal RNA
Rfam family: 5.8S ribosomal RNA (bases 1-120)
Source: RNAcentral